This 74-nucleotide transfer RNA is filed under the name Candidatus Phytoplasma luffae. RNAcentral's name for it is "Loofah witches'-broom phytoplasma tRNA". It matches the Rfam family "tRNA". Rfam says of the family: Transfer RNA (tRNA) molecules are approximately 80 nucleotides in length. Their secondary structure includes four short double-helical elements and three loops (D, anti-codon, and T loops). Lineage: Bacteria; Bacillati; Mycoplasmatota; Mollicutes; Acholeplasmatales; Acholeplasmataceae. The record is from Rfam by way of RNAcentral.
GAGCCUAUAGCUCAGUUGGUUAGAGCACACGCCUGAUAAGCGUGAGGUCGGUGGUUCAAGUCCAUUUAGGCUCA